This 77-nucleotide transfer RNA is filed under the name Campylobacterales bacterium. RNAcentral's name for it is "tRNA-Arg". It matches the Rfam family "tRNA". From Rfam's summary of the family: Transfer RNA (tRNA) molecules are approximately 80 nucleotides in length. Their secondary structure includes four short double-helical elements and three loops (D, anti-codon, and T loops). Further hydrogen bonds mediate the characteristic L-shaped molecular structure. tRNAs have two regions of fundamental functional importance: the anti-codon, which is responsible for specific mRNA codon recognition, and the 3' end, to which the tRNAs corresponding amino acid is attached (by aminoacyl-tRNA synthetases). tRNAs cope with the degeneracy of the genetic code in two manners: having more than one tRNA (with a specific anti-codon) for a particular amino acid; and 'wobble' base-pairing, i.e. permitting non-standard base-pairing at the 3rd anti-codon position. The record is from RNAcentral. Lineage: Bacteria; Pseudomonadati; Campylobacterota; Epsilonproteobacteria; Campylobacterales.
GUGUCCAUAGCUCAGCUGGAUAGAGCAACAAGUUGCGGUCUUGUAGGUCGGGGGUUCAAAUCCCUCUGGGCAUACCA